This 254-nucleotide ribosomal RNA is filed under the name uncultured bacterium. RNAcentral's name for it is "partial 16S ribosomal RNA". It matches the Rfam family "Bacterial small subunit ribosomal RNA", at positions 524 to 776 of the family's 1533-position model. The record is from RNAcentral.
UACGGGGGGGGCAAGCGUUGUUCGGAAUUACUGGGCGUAAAGGGCUCGUAGGUGGCCAACUAAGUCAGACGUGAAAUCCCUCGGCUUAACCGGGGAACUGCGUCUGAUACUGGAUGGCUUGAGUUUGGGAGAGGGAUGCGGAAUUCCAGGUGUAGCGGUGAAAUGCGUAGAUAUCAAGAGGAACACCUGAGGCGAAGGCGGGUUGCUAGGCUGACACUGACGCUGACAGCGCGAAAGCCAGGGGAGCAAACGGG